Molecule: long non-coding RNA, 243 nt
Filed under: Elaeis guineensis (African oil palm)
Lineage: Eukaryota; Viridiplantae; Streptophyta; Magnoliopsida; Arecales; Arecaceae
Description: long non-coding RNA (EGUI_LNC077874)
Source: RNAcentral
UGAGAUUUGAAGGAACCAGAUUUAGGGUUGCAGGGUUAGAUCUUGAAACUUUUUCAAGAUCAGGCAGCGGAAGACUAAAAUAAAUCAAAAUUUAUCUUAUAAAAUCAAAGAAUCCCUAGAUCUAAGAUCCUAUUACAUGAUUAUUACACGGUAUUAAAUCAAAAAUUAAAAUAUAAAGAGCAAUAACUACAUGUUGAUCAUAUCAACAUGUUUCUAUACUACAUCUAAUGUAUGUAAAAUAUA